CAGCCGCCGCGGGAAUACGAAGGGUGCAAGCGUUAAUCGGAAUUACUGGGCGUAAAGCGUGCGCAGGCGGUGAGUUAAGUCUGCUGUGAAAUCCCCGGGCUCAACCUGGGAAUGGCAGUGGAUACUGGCUCGCUAGAGUGUGUCAGAGGAUGGUGGAAUUCCCGGUGUAGCGGUGAAAUGCGUAGAGAUCGGGAGGAAUAUCAGUGGCGAAGGCGGCCAUCUGGGACAACACUGACGCUGAGGCACGAAAGCGUGGGGAGCAAACAGGAUUAGAUACCCGCGUAGUCCCUGUCUCUUAUAC
Molecule: ribosomal RNA, 301 nt
Filed under: uncultured bacterium
Lineage: Bacteria
Description: partial 16S ribosomal RNA
Rfam family: Bacterial small subunit ribosomal RNA
Source: RNAcentral